This 254-nucleotide ribosomal RNA is filed under the name uncultured bacterium. Its description in RNAcentral is "partial 16S ribosomal RNA". It matches the Rfam family "Bacterial small subunit ribosomal RNA", at positions 524 to 776 of the family's 1533-position model. The record is from RNAcentral.
UACGAAGGGGGCUAGCGUUGCUCGGAAUCACUGGGCGUAAAGCGCACGUAGGCGGCUUUCUAAGUCAGGGGUGAAAUCCUGGAGCUCAACUCCAGAACUGCCUUUGAUACUGGAGAGCUUGAGUCCGGGAGAGGUGAGUGGAACUCCGAGUGUCGAGGUGAAAUUCGUAGAUAUUCGGAAGAACACCAGCGGCGAAGGCGGCUCACUGGCCCGGUUCUGACGCUGAGGCGCGGAAAGCGUGGGGAGCAAACAGG